ACAUCUACCGUUUCAGAAUUACUUUGUCUAAAAUCAA
Molecule: small RNA, 37 nt
Filed under: Staphylococcus aureus
Lineage: Bacteria; Bacillati; Bacillota; Bacilli; Caryophanales; Staphylococcaceae
Description: HMPRFS0000_2629
Source: RNAcentral